This 253-nucleotide ribosomal RNA is filed under the name uncultured bacterium. RNAcentral describes it as "partial 16S ribosomal RNA". It matches the Rfam family "Bacterial small subunit ribosomal RNA", at positions 524 to 776 of the family's 1533-position model. The record is from RNAcentral.
UACAGAGGGUGCUAGCGUUGUUCGGAAUCAUUGGGCGUAAAGGGCGUGUAGGCGGUUUGUUAAGUCAUGUGUGAAAUCCCUCGGCUCAACCGGGGAACGACGCAUGAAACUGGCAAGCUAGAGUACCAAAGAGGGGGGUGGAAUUCCCGGUGUAGCGGUGAAAUGCGUAGAUAUCUGGAGGAACACCGGUGGCGAAGGCGGCAUCCUGGACCAAUACUGACACUGAGGAGCGAAAGCCAGGGGAGCAAACGGG